GACGAACGCUGGCGGCGUGCCUAAUACAUGCAAGUUGAGCGAUGAAGAUUGGUGCUUGCACCAAUUUGAAGAGCAGCGAACGGGUGAGUAACGCGUGGGGAAUCUGCCUUUGAGCGGGGGACAACAUUUGGAAACGAAUGCUAAUACCGCAUAACAACUUUAAACAUAAGUUUUAAGUUUGAAAGAUGCAAUUGCAUCACUCAAAGAUGAUCCCGCGUUGUAUUAGCUAGUUGGUGAGGUAAAGGCUCACCAAGGCGAUGAUACAUAGCCGACCUGAGAGGGUGAUCGGCCACAUUGGGACUGAGACACGGCCCAAACUCCUACGGGAGGCAGCAGUAGGGAAUCCUCGGCAAUGGACGAAAGUCUGAACGAGCAACGCCGCGUGAGUGAAGAAGGUUUUCGGAUCGUAAAACUCUGUUGGUAGAGAAGAACGUUGGUGAGAGUGGAAAGCUCAUCAAGUGACGGUAACUACCCAGAAAGGGACGGCUAACUACGUG
Molecule: ribosomal RNA, 497 nt
Filed under: uncultured bacterium
Lineage: Bacteria
Description: partial 16S ribosomal RNA
Rfam family: Bacterial small subunit ribosomal RNA
Source: RNAcentral